This is a non-coding RNA of Hordeum vulgare subsp. vulgare (domesticated barley), 136 nucleotides long. The record is from Rfam. NCBI's taxonomy places the organism in Eukaryota, Viridiplantae, Streptophyta, Magnoliopsida, Poales, Poaceae.
UACUUACUUCCUCCGUCACAAAAUUCUUGUCUUAGAUUUGUCUGUAUAUGAAUGUAUCAAGUCACAUUUUAGUUUUUAGAUGCAUUCAUUUCUAAACAAACUUAAGACAAGAAUUAUGGGACGGAGGGAGUAUUAG